GUCACAAAAAAACUACACCUUUCUUCUACUUUGUUCUUUGCAACCUUUCAUGCUAAAGAAAACUUCUGAUUUAGCAUCCACGGAUUUCUAGCAAGUAGUUGCUUCAAUUUCAGCUCUGUUCACCAGUUCGGCAUAUUUGGGGUUGAUGGAUUCAUACUAAGGAAUUGCUUUACUUCAAGGUCAUUUCUUCUGUUCCUUGACUGUACCUUACAAUUUUAGUGGCUAAAUUUUGUUCUCGAUCAAUACAUC
Molecule: non-coding RNA, 249 nt
Organism: Coffea arabica (coffee)
Lineage: Eukaryota; Viridiplantae; Streptophyta; Magnoliopsida; Gentianales; Rubiaceae
Source: RefSeq, a predicted model, not a curated record